RNAcentral lists this ribosomal RNA (527 nucleotides) under Trichoderma hamatum. RNAcentral's name for it is "eukaryotic LSU rRNA". The stretch from base 153 to 306 matches the Rfam family "5.8S ribosomal RNA". Lineage: Eukaryota; Fungi; Ascomycota; Sordariomycetes; Hypocreales; Hypocreaceae. The record is from RNAcentral.
UACCAAACUGGUUAGCCUCAGGCGGGGUCACGCCCCGGGUGCGUAAAAGCCCCGGAACCAGGCGCCCGCCGGAGGAACCAACCAAACUCUUUCUGUAGUCCCCUCGCGGACGUAUUUCUUACAGCUCUGAGCAAAAAUUCAAAAUGAAUCAAAACUUUCAACAACGGAUCUCUUGGUUCUGGCAUCGAUGAAGAACGCAGCGAAAUGCGAUAAGUAAUGUGAAUUGCAGAAUUCAGUGAAUCAUCGAAUCUUUGAACGCACAUUGCGCCCGCCAGUAUUCUGGCGGGCAUGCCUGUCCGAGCGUCAUUUCAACCCUCGAACCCCUCCGGGGGAUCGGCGUUGGGGAUCGGGACCCCUCACCGGGUGCCGGCCCUGAAAUACAGUGGCGGUCUCGCCGCAGCCUCUCCUGCGCAGUAGUUUGCACAACUCGCACCGGGAGCGCGGCGCGUCCACGUCCGUAAAACACCCAACUUCUGAAAUGUUGACCUCGGAUCAGGUAGGAAUACCCGCUGAACUUAAGCAUAUCA